RNAcentral lists this ribosomal RNA (465 nucleotides) under Vreelandella stevensii. RNAcentral's name for it is "partial 16S ribosomal RNA". It matches the Rfam family "Bacterial small subunit ribosomal RNA", at positions 338 to 795 of the family's 1533-position model. Lineage: Bacteria; Pseudomonadati; Pseudomonadota; Gammaproteobacteria; Oceanospirillales; Halomonadaceae. The record is from RNAcentral.
CCUACGUGGAGCAGCAGUGGGGAAUAUUGGACAAUGGGCGAAAGCCUGAUCCAGCCAUGCCGCGUGUGUGAAGAAGGCCUUCGGGUUGUAAAGCACUUUCAGUGGGGAAGAAAGCCUUGGGGCUAAUACCCUCGAGGAAGGACAUCACCCACAGAAGAAGCACCGGCUAACUCCGUGCCAGUAGCCGCGGUAAUACGGAGGGUGCGAGCGUUAAUCGGAAUUACUGGGCGUAAAGCGCGCGUAGGCGGUCUGAUAAGCCGGUUGUGAAAGCCCCGGGCUCAACCUGGGAACGGCAUCCGGAACUGUCAGGCUAGAGUGCAGGAGAGGAAGGUAGAAUUCCCGGUGUAGCGGUGAAAUGCGUAGAGAUCGGGAGGAAUACCAGUGGCGAAGGCGGCCUUCUGGACUGACACUGACGCUGAGGUGCGAAAGCGUGGGUAGCAAACAGGAUUAGAUACCCUGGUAGUC